RNAcentral lists this microRNA precursor (90 nucleotides) under Nicotiana tabacum (common tobacco). Its description in RNAcentral is "miR399g stem-loop (nta-MIR399g)". Its record names the gene nta-MIR399g. The record is from miRBase by way of RNAcentral. Lineage: Eukaryota; Viridiplantae; Streptophyta; Magnoliopsida; Solanales; Solanaceae.
AAUAGUGAUAGGGCUACUCUCUAUUGGCAUGCAGUUAAUUAUAUGUAUUUCAGCUGACACGCCAAAGGAGAGCUGCCCUGUUACUGUCUC